UCCCCGUUCACCGGGGCAGUCCCCUUAGAGUGCCCGGCAUGACCCGGUAGCAACAAAGGGCGAGGGUUGCGCUCGUUGCGGGACUUAACCCAACAUCUCACGACACGAGCUGACGACAGCCAUGCAGCACCUGUGCACCAGCUCCGAAGAGAAGAUGGCUUUCACCAUCGGUCCAGUACAUGUCAAGCCCAGGUAAGGUUCUUCGCGUUGCAUCGAAUUAAGCCACAUGCUCCGCCGCUUGUGCGGGCCCCCGUCAAUUCCUUUGAGUUUCAGUCUUGCGACCGUACUUCCCAGGCGGCGAACUUAACGCGUUAGCUUCGAUACUGAGUGCCUAAGUGCACCCAACAUCCAGUUCGCAUCGUUUAGGGCGUGGACUAC
RNAcentral lists this unclassified non-coding RNA (378 nucleotides) under uncultured bacterium. RNAcentral describes it as "contains 16S-23S intergenic spacer region". The record is from RNAcentral.